CUAAGAAUAUUCCGCAAUGGACGAAAGUCUGACGGAGCGACGCCGCGUGGAUGAAGAAGGCCGAAAGGUUGUAAAGUUCUUUUGUUGGGGAAGAAUAACCAUGGGAGGGAAUGCCCGUGGGAUGACAUGAACCGACGAAUAAGCCCCGGCUAACUACGAGCCGGCAGCCCCGGUAACACGUAGGGGGCGAGCGUUGUUCGGAAUUACUGGGCGUAAAGGGCAUGUAGGCGGUCUUGUAAGCUUGGCGUGAAAGACCACGGCUCAACCGUGGGAUUGCGUUGAGAACUGCGAGGCUUGAGCGACGGAGAGGGAGCUAGAAUUCCUGGUGUAGGGGUGGAAUCUGUAGAGAUCAGGAAGAAUACCAAUGGCGAAGGCAAGCUCCUGGCCGAUGACUGACGCUGAGGUGCGAAAGUGUGGGGAUCGAACAG
This 428-nucleotide ribosomal RNA is filed under the name uncultured bacterium. Its description in RNAcentral is "bacterial SSU rRNA". It matches the Rfam family "Bacterial small subunit ribosomal RNA", at positions 355 to 775 of the family's 1533-position model. The record is from RNAcentral.